AUUCACACAUUCUCACAUCGCGACUCUCUCUAAAACCGUAACCACCCCGACGCCGUUCCCGAUCGAUCUUCCUUGUGAUUUUCCCGGCGGUUUAGACCGGCGAAGCUGGAAAUUCGACUUGCGCCCACGAUUCUUGGCUUGUUCCGAAGCUGGCCUUCGGUUUGCUUUCACGAUUCUUGCCUUCUUUGUAGGAAAAUUAAAGAUUGAAAUCCGAAACAGCUAUGAUCGGGGUUCAUGUUAUUGUUGUGGACAUGGAUAAGACUGCCUUGUAUAAACUGGCUCACAUCCUUCUCAACCAUAGCUAUACAGUGUCUGUGCGCACUUCGAUGCAAGAUGUAGAGAAAUUGCUUCAGCUUGAACAAGGAUUCGAAUUAUUCGACUUGGUAAUAUGCAAUGCAGACCUUCCUGGUCUCGACAUUACGAAGUUUCUUGCCGACGUGGCAGUUGAGAGGGAAAUUCCCGUAAUAAUGAUGUCCGUUGAUGGUGAAGACAGCAAAGUGAUGGAAAUGAUCGAGGGUAAUUGUGCAGCUUACUACCCCAAGCCAAUCGAGGAGAAAGACGCGAAAUACUUGUGGCAGUAUGUGGUUAGAAAACGAAAGGUGACCAAGCAGCAUUUAACAUCAAUGGCGGCAGCAGCAGCAUAAAAAAGUAAUUCUAAUUAGUUGGUUAAUAUUUUAAUACUAAUAUAUAUUUUGCUAAUUACGGAACUGCUUCGUCUUUUUCACCAUAACUCGAUUCCCACCCUCCGCCAUGGACUACGCUUUCGGAUUCUCCCUUCCGCCGCCGUGAUAGAAAGAAGAACACUCAGGCAAAAAAAGUGGUGCGGAGGAGGCCAAAUUUAGAAUUUGUUGGACGGCAUUGAAGGACAACUCAUUGAGAUGUAUGGUUUAGGGUCUUCUGUUCGAUCCCGAUCUCUGUUCAACCGUGCAAUCAGAUACUGCAGUAGUUCACUAAAAUCGAUUUGGAUUUCGGGUUACAGAAAUCUGGGUUCUGUUGUGAAAUUGUACCCGCUCCGGUUCGGCUUCGGGUGACCCGGAUCUCCGAUUUCUUCCUCCGCUUGCUUGACCUUGAAGAAGAAUAAGAAGAUGAAUCAUGCCCUAAUCCCCCGUCGCCGUCGCCGCCUCUAUUCUUCUUCUUCUUCUUCCGCCGCCUCAGCUUCGUAAAGAACUCCUCCGACCCUAUCUGGACCGUUACAAGAUACCCAUCCUCGAACUUUCCGUCGAUCACUCCACACACCGGAAGAGUUGACGAUGAUGAUGAUAAUGAGGUGUUUGGCGGGAAUUGUUUGAUGGCGGGAGAGGCAGGGGAGGAGGGAGUCCAGGACUUGGCCUUUAAGAAAUAAAUCUGCUCAUAGUUGUAGAGGAGAGAGAUGUACUACUUUUGGAGAGAGUAUCUAUAUAUGUAUAUUCCCUCACUCUUGUUAAGGUAUUCAUAUACCAAAAUAAAAAA
Andrographis paniculata is the source of this 1449-nucleotide RNA transcript. It is a transcript of the gene named two-component response regulator ARR11-like, with no coding region annotated. NCBI's taxonomy places the organism in Eukaryota, Viridiplantae, Streptophyta, Magnoliopsida, Lamiales, Acanthaceae. The transcript has 6 exons. The record is from RefSeq and is a predicted model, not a curated record.